RNAcentral lists this transfer RNA (73 nucleotides) under Ictidomys tridecemlineatus (thirteen-lined ground squirrel). RNAcentral describes it as "Spermophilus tridecemlineatus (thirteen-lined ground squirrel) tRNA". It matches the Rfam family "tRNA". Rfam says of the family: Transfer RNA (tRNA) molecules are approximately 80 nucleotides in length. Their secondary structure includes four short double-helical elements and three loops (D, anti-codon, and T loops). Further hydrogen bonds mediate the characteristic L-shaped molecular structure. tRNAs have two regions of fundamental functional importance: the anti-codon, which is responsible for specific mRNA codon recognition, and the 3' end, to which the tRNAs corresponding amino acid is attached (by aminoacyl-tRNA synthetases). tRNAs cope with the degeneracy of the genetic code in two manners: having more than one tRNA (with a specific anti-codon) for a particular amino acid; and 'wobble' base-pairing, i.e. permitting non-standard base-pairing at the 3rd anti-codon position. Lineage: Eukaryota; Metazoa; Chordata; Mammalia; Rodentia; Sciuridae. The record is from Rfam by way of RNAcentral. RNAcentral also lists the same sequence under 1 other name.
UGGGGUGUAGCUCAGUGAUAGAGUGCUUGCCUAUCAUGUGUUAGGCCCUAGGUUCAGAUCCCUGGCACCACAA